Dioscorea cayenensis subsp. rotundata (Guinea yam) is the source of this 958-nucleotide long non-coding RNA. RefSeq lists it as uncharacterized. The transcript is spliced from 3 exons. Lineage: Eukaryota; Viridiplantae; Streptophyta; Magnoliopsida; Dioscoreales; Dioscoreaceae. The record is from RefSeq and is a predicted model, not a curated record.
UACGCUGUCAGGGUGAGAUGGAGGCGGUGGUGAGAACCCUUGCAAGUGGGUUGGGGUUGGUUGCGUAGAUGGCGGAGUAUUGGAUUUGUGAGUGUUCUUUAUUUCAAUUUCAGUUUUUUUUUUGGGCUGAUGCUAAGAAUUGGGUGAGUCUUGGUUUUUUUUCUUUUUCUCAUAGAUGUCAUUUUUUAGGAAAUUUAUGUGUAGAUUGGAUGGUGGAAAUUGCAACAAUAUAGUGCAAAUAAGGCUGAUUGAAGCUCUGUUUCUGAGCUCACUGGCAUUAGCUAUGGCGGAUAUUGUUGUUGCCUAUUGGACCAAUUGCAGGGAAAGAAGGAAGCUUCUUCUUGUGUAUGUGAUCGACAUAGAAGGAGUAUAGGUCAUCAUCUAGGUCAAGAUCAGCUUAGUCGCUUCAGCACAGUGAGGAGUGGUUUGAUCAGAUGGAGAACUAUUUACCACAGGCGAUCAACGAGGAGGCACCAGAGAUCAUUGAAGGGUUGUGGGAGAAAGGCCGGAUGUUUACCGAGUUCGUCAUCGCUAAUGGUACCGUCACUGAAUGAUUGCGCAUUGCUUGUAUACUUGGAGAGGUUUGUGUAUUGUUGUUAUGCCUUAGUUCUCACAAUUGCUUGAUGGAUGGUGUUACUUGCGUCCAUACUAAUAUUGAGAACUGAGAAGUUUAGUAGAAUAUGAUGUGAAUAAUAAUAUGAAUCAUGAUGGGCACGGUUAUUUCUUGUUGUUUCUGAAUCAUUAUUCAUUUUGAGAAUUGCCAUUCUUUCAUGUGCACCAUAGCCUCUAUGACAAUUGUUCAUGAGCUUUUCUUUAUUUUCUUAGAAUUGAAUUUUGCAACCACUUAUUAUGUUAGGAAAGAACUUCAUAGUUUUGAAAAGGUAAAUUCAUUGUAUGUUGUUGAUGCCACCAGAUAACUCAUGUAAGAAUAAUAUUGUGGAGGCCCUAGUGUUGUCUA